RNAcentral lists this ribosomal RNA (425 nucleotides) under uncultured bacterium. RNAcentral describes it as "bacterial SSU rRNA". It matches the Rfam family "Bacterial small subunit ribosomal RNA", at positions 354 to 796 of the family's 1533-position model. The record is from RNAcentral.
GUGGGGAAUCUUAGACAAUGGGCGCAAGCCUGAUCUAGCCAUGCCGCGUGAGCGAUGAAGGCCUUAGGGUUGUAAAGCUCUUUCAGCUGGGAAGAUAAUGACGGUACCAGCAGUAGAAGCCCCGGCUAACUCCGUGCCAGCAGCCGCGGUAAUACGGAGGGGGCUAGCGUUGUUCGGAAUUACUGGGCGUAAAGCGCACGUAGGCGGAUCAGAAAGUCAGAGGUGAAAUCCCAGGGCUCAACCUUGGAACUGCCUUUGAAACUCCUGAUCUUGAGGUCGAGAGAGGUGAGUGGAAUUCCGAGUGUAGAGGUGAAAUUCGUAGAUAUUCGGAGGAACACCAGUGGCGAAGGCGGCUCACUGGCUCGAUACUGACGCUGAGGUGCGAAAGCGUGGGGAGCAAACAGGAUUAGAUACCCCUGUAGUCC